AAAUACUUACCUGAAGCUUGGUUAACAUCUCUUUAAACCUGGUAAACAACCCUGCCUCAUCUCCCUGUAGUGUUUCUCAUAUGAGUUUGCAAGGAUGGCUUGGAAAAGGUAUUUAGAUGGAGGAGAUGUAGGCAUAUCAAAUUCACAAUCUUCUUGAAUUGUCCCUUCUUGUUAUUGAGGAAAUGGUGGUGAUGGUGUCAUACCCCAAAAAUUU
This 214-nucleotide long non-coding RNA is filed under the name Lathyrus oleraceus (garden pea). RNAcentral describes it as "Pisum sativum (pea) long non-coding RNA (PSAT_LNC017576)". Lineage: Eukaryota; Viridiplantae; Streptophyta; Magnoliopsida; Fabales; Fabaceae. The record is from RNAcentral.